Xyrichtys novacula (pearly razorfish) is the source of this 3583-nucleotide non-coding RNA. Lineage: Eukaryota; Metazoa; Chordata; Actinopteri; Labriformes; Labridae. The record is from the annotation of a GenBank genome assembly.
GUCUGUGGAUCUGCACUCGCAUAUAUACCACUAUCCAUCCUCCAGUGCGCCAUUGUCUCUUACAUCGACCCCAUAACUGUCGAUUUGUAAGAAUCCCUGACAAGGAGCUUCUGCUACCCUCCACCGCGACAACAACAUAACAAAAUGGUGAGAAAACUUUAUAAACUUUGAUCCAGAGUCAUGUUAAAGAUACUUUAUUUUAAUCUUUUUCGGGAAUGGGAGCUAGAGGGAUUAUAAUACUGUUAUCUUCACUUUAACGCUCUCCAAUAAGUGCAUUUUUUAAUCAAUGUUGUAAAAAGAGGUGGUUUAUUCAGAGGACAUGUUUGAAUUCAGAAAUAUACAUGUCAUAUCGCGUUGGUGUAAUUGUAAAGAAAGAUAAAUUAAGGAUGAAAACUGACUGCAUCCGGGAAAAAAACUCGGAGUCAGAAAAUCUGGUACCCGGUGUUGUGCUUUAGAAUUCACCCUUGACGUAGAAUGCACCCCCUGACGGUUGCGGUUGAAAGUACAUACUGAGGCGAAAUAAUCCAAGUUUUCUCAAUCGUUGGAUGGAUUCAAAAGCGUGUGCCUUCAAUGAUUUCAUUCAGGCUGUUCAGAUAAGCCGAAAACAAUAGCCCUCUGAUUCGGAGUGUUUGCCGUCCCGUAAAUAUAAUGUUCUCUACCUUGACAGCUUACUGUACAGUUUAUAUACACCUCUAUAAGUGCAUUUCUGAGACACAAAAUAACAUGACGAAAGUUUGCUGCUUCAUUUGACACGUUGUCAUGAUCCAGUAUUCGUGUUUUUUUCAAUAUGAGAUCAUUUUCUUCCACUUUAAGAAGCUAAUGAGAGGAUGGGAUGCUGGGGUGCAUUCUACGGCACUACACCUGCUCUCCGAACUGACACACUUUACGUCAUAUUACGCAGGAAAAUGGCGGACCAAAGUUAAUAUCGAUUUGUCGACCACACAUAGCAUAAUUAUAACAUUAAUGUUUAUCGUGGUGCGAUUUGAAGAAUGGUUCUUAAAGUGAACAUCAGAUCAUCCGAUGGACAAGUGAACGCAGCAUGAAUAAGUGGCGGGCUGAGCGAACAAAAGCUGUUUUCAGCAGGUUGUAAUGUGAACAGAAUGAAUAAUGUCAGCCAGCCGCUAACUCUGCGGCAAAUUCUGCUCUCACUCCGAUGACUAAGCCCUCUUCAUCACUUCUCGUGACAGCGGCUGUCCCCCCUAACUUAAAGUUGAUUCAAUUUACCGGCAGUGAGGAUGAAGAGAAGAGCUUCUCUCACACACUCAUGGAAACUGUACCCGCAGGGAGAAUAGGUGAUCUGCGCUGUAAGCACGACUUCAACAUUAAAAAUUCAUGUCAGUAAUGGACACCUCUUAGACGUCCCCUGAGAGAGAACCGUGUGGGAUGCGGGGCUAACAGAAGGCAUUAUCCUCUGCUGUCAUUUGAUGCUCGUAGAAACCCGAAUAAACCUCUCCAUUAACGGUCCAACCUGUUAAAACACAUUCAUAUAAAUGUUAUUCGGUGCCAAAUUGAAUGGCCUUGUAGCAUAGCAACGAAGUGAAAAGUUGACAACCGUUAGUCCAUCUCUGACUGAUGAUUGGUUGCGGUAUCCGUCAAUCAAAGCUGCAACUCCAGGGAUGAGGAGAAUCAGAAUAAGCUUGUUUACUCAAUAGAUGAUCAAGUUACUGCAAUAAAUAUGUCAAACUGUAUAAAGAAGUAAAUAACUUAUAUUAUUCUUUUGUUUCUCCCACAGCGUGAGUGUAUCUCCAUCCAUGUUGGACAGGCCGGCGUCCAGAUCGGCAAUGCCUGCUGGGAGCUUUACUGCCUGGAGCAUGGGAUCCAGCCGGACGGACAGAUGCCCAGUGACAAGACACUGGGAGGAGGAGACGAUUCCUUCAACACCUUCUUCAGUGAGACCGGAGCUGGAAAGCACGUCCCCAGAGCUGUUUUUGUAGAUCUGGAGCCCACUGUGAUCGGUGAGUGUCAUUAGUUUUGUAGAAAUGGGAAUUUGAGGAAGUUAAGAUCAGAGGGUUUACGGUAAGGAACCAUAAUAACCCUGUUGUCAUUCAUGUCUUUUUAGAUGAAGUGCGCACUGGAACCUACCGCCAGCUGUUCCACCCAGAGCAGCUGAUCACUGGAAAGGAGGAUGCUGCCAACAACUAUGCCCGUGGACACUACACCAUCGGCAAAGAGAUCAUUGACCUGGUGCUGGACAGGAUCCGCAAACUGGUAACUUGAAAUCAGAAGUGACAUUCAGUAAGAUUAUAUAACUCACCUUUUAUCUGUGCUCACUAUCUCUCUCUCUCUGUCCUCAGGCUGAUCAGUGCACUGGCCUUCAGGGCUUCCUGGUCUUCCACAGCUUUGGAGGUGGUACCGGCUCUGGUUUCACCUCCCUGCUGAUGGAGCGUCUGUCUGUCGACUACGGCAAGAAGUCCAAGCUGGAGUUCUCCAUCUACCCAGCUCCCCAGGUUUCCACUGCUGUGGUGGAGCCCUACAACUCCAUCCUGACCACUCACACCACCCUGGAGCACUCUGACUGUGCCUUCAUGGUAGACAACGAGGCCAUCUACGAUAUCUGUCGUAGAAACCUCGAUAUUGAGCGUCCCACUUACACUAACCUCAACAGGCUAAUUGGCCAAAUUGUGUCCUCCAUCACUGCGUCCCUGCGUUUUGAUGGUGCCCUCAAUGUUGAUCUGACAGAGUUCCAGACCAACUUGGUGCCAUAUCCCCGUAUCCACUUCCCUCUGGCCACCUAUGCCCCCGUCAUCUCAGCUGAGAAAGCUUACCAUGAGCAGCUCUCUGUGUCAGAAAUCACCAAUGCUUGCUUUGAGCCAGCCAAUCAGAUGGUCAAAUGCGACCCUCGCCAUGGCAAGUACAUGGCCUGCUGCCUUUUGUACCGUGGUGACGUGGUUCCCAAAGACGUAAACGCUGCCAUCGCCACCAUCAAGACCAAGCGCACCAUCCAGUUUGUGGACUGGUGCCCCACUGGUUUUAAGGUGGGCAUCAACUACCAGCCUCCCACUGUGGUUCCUGGUGGUGACCUGGCCAAGGUCCAGAGGGCCGUGUGCAUGCUGAGCAACACCACUGCUAUUGCAGAGGCCUGGGCCCGUCUCGACCACAAGUUUGACCUGAUGUAUGCUAAGCGUGCCUUUGUUCACUGGUACGUGGGUGAGGGUAUGGAAGAGGGUGAGUUCUCCGAGGCCAGAGAGGACAUGGCAGCUUUGGAGAAGGAUUAUGAGGAGGUGGGAGUCGACUCCGUUGACAAUGACGGAGAGGAGGAAGGAGAGGAGUAUUAAAAUAAAAAGGGUUUAGCUGAACAGGAAAAAAUGGUUCAAAAUGUUCUUCAAUGCAUUCCGAACAAAUGUUUGUGUAUUAACUACAAGUUUGGCUGGUCACACUAAAAACUUGUGAAGCUGUUUUGUUUGGAUUUGUUCUAAAUAAAAAUCCUGUUACAAGUUAAAUGGUCUGUUUUGACUUUUUUCCAGAACAUUCAUCAAGAGUCUCACCAUGUGUUUUAAGUUUUUGAGUGAUUCCAUCAAUCCAAGGAGCCGACUUACCAUGCAAAGCUCUUAUUCACAAGCUUGAAUAAAAGAAAACUUGUAAA